Molecule: ribosomal RNA, 183 nt
Filed under: uncultured bacterium
Lineage: Bacteria
Description: partial 16S ribosomal RNA
Rfam family: Bacterial small subunit ribosomal RNA
Source: RNAcentral
CACGAAGUCGGAAUUGCUAGUAAUGGCAGGUCAGCAUACUGCCGUGAAUACGUUCCCGGACCUUGUACACACCGCCCGUCACACCAUGAGAGUUAGGAAUACCUGAAGCCUGUGAGCCAACUUUAUAAGAGGCAGCAGUCGAAGGUAGAACUAAUGAUUGGGGUGAAGUCGUAACAAGGUAGC